AGAGUUUGAUCCUGGCUCAGAAUCAACGCUGGCGGCGUGCCUCAGACAUGCAAGUCGAACGAUUAAAGCUCUCUUCGGAGAGUGUAUAGAGUGGCGCACGGGUGAGUAACACGUAAGUAAUCUACCUUCGAGUGGGGAAUAACGUUCGGAAACGAACGCUAAUACCGCAUAAUGCAGCGGCAUCGCAAGAUGACAGUUGUUAAAGGAAUUUAUUUCGCUUGAAGAGGAGCUUGCGGCAGAUUAGCUAGUUGGUAAGGUAACGGCUUACCAAGGCUACGAUCUGUAUCCGGUCUAAGAGGACGGUCGGACACACUGACACUGAAUAACGGGUCAGACUCCUACGGGAGGCAGCAGUCGGGAAUUUUGGGCAAUGGGCGAAAGCCUGACCCAGCAACGCCGCGUGAAGGAUGAAGUAUUUCGGUAUGUAAACUUCGAAAGAAUGGGAAGAAUAAAUGACGGUACCAUUUAUAAGCUCCGGCUAACUACGUGCCAGCAGCCGCGGUAAUACGUAGGGAGCAAGCGUUGUUCGGAUUUACUGGGCGUAAAGGGCGCGUAGGCGGCGCGGUAAGUCACUUGUGAAAUCUCUGAGCUUAACUCAGAACGGCCAAGUGAUACUGCAGUGCUAGAGUGCAGAAGGGGCAAUCGGAAUUCUUGGUGUAGCGGUGAAAUGCGUAGAUAUCAAGAGGAACACCUGAGGUGAAGACGGGUUGCUGGGCUGACACUGACGCUGAGGCGCGAAAGCUAGGGGAGCAAACGGGAUUAGAUACCCUGGUAGUCC
RNAcentral lists this ribosomal RNA (778 nucleotides) under uncultured bacterium. RNAcentral's name for it is "bacterial SSU rRNA". It matches the Rfam family "Bacterial small subunit ribosomal RNA", at positions 8 to 796 of the family's 1533-position model. The record is from RNAcentral.